Paramuricea clavata is the source of this 535-nucleotide non-coding RNA. Lineage: Eukaryota; Metazoa; Cnidaria; Anthozoa; Malacalcyonacea; Plexauridae. The record is from the annotation of a GenBank genome assembly.
CGUGACAGUACAUGUUUUACUAAGUCGAUCUCAACUUCAGGAACGUGAACUGUAUCAGGAAUUUGUAAACGUUCAGGAGUAAUAUAAUUAGGAUCAGUAUUGAUCUCUUUAAAAUAGUCAUUAAUCACUUCUGCAUUGACAAUAGCACUGAUUUGAACGUCUUGUUUAUUUCUACCUGAUAUCCUGUUAGCUGUAUCCCACCAUGCUUUAGAUCCUUUCUUAUAUUUCCUAUUCUCGCAACGGACGGCAUUUAAUUGAUUUGUACGAAUAAGUUUGUUAAUUCGUUCUUGAAGAAUAGCAUUUUCAUGACUGUCAUUAUACUUAUAUCUAUUCUUAUUCCUUAUUUUGCAUAGAUGUUUGACUAGCGGAGUUAUGUAAGGUGGUCACGUGACGACAUUUUGAUUGAGAUCAAAGGAAAGAACCCAUCAAACAUAUUACCUAAAAUGUCAUUAAGCUUUUGAACAUUUUCAGAUGGAUCUUGACAAUCAAAAAACAUAUCCCAUUCCAAGUCUUGUAACUUCCGGUCCAUUUGCAC